RNAcentral lists this ribosomal RNA (254 nucleotides) under uncultured bacterium. Its description in RNAcentral is "partial 16S ribosomal RNA". It matches the Rfam family "Bacterial small subunit ribosomal RNA", at positions 524 to 776 of the family's 1533-position model. The record is from RNAcentral.
UACGGAGGAUCCAAGCGUUAUCCGGAUUUAUUGGGUUUAAAGGGUGCGUAGGCGGCUUAUUAAGUCAGGGGUGAAAGGCGGUGGCUCAACCAUCGCAGUGCCUUGAUACUGAUGAGCUUGAAUAACUAUGAGGUAGGCGGAAUGUGACAAGUAGCGGUGAAAUGCAUAGAUAUGUCACAGAACACCAAUUGCGAAGGCAGCUUACUAAAAGUGUUAUUUGACGCUGAGGCACGAAAGCGUGGGGAUCAAACAGG